Long non-coding RNA from Oncorhynchus tshawytscha (Chinook salmon), 393 nucleotides. Lineage: Eukaryota; Metazoa; Chordata; Actinopteri; Salmoniformes; Salmonidae. The record is from Ensembl.
AGAGAGAGACUGAAGGACAGGGGUGUGGAGGUAAAGAGAGAGAGACUGAAGGACAGGGGUGUGGAGGUAAAGAGAGAGAGACUGAAGGACAGAGGUGUGGAGGUAAAGAGAGAGAGACUGAAGGACAGGGGUGUGGAGGUAAAGAGAGAGAGACUGAAGGAUAGGGGUGCGGAGGUAAAGAGAGAGAGACUGAAGGAUAGGGGUGCGGAGGUAAAGAGAGAGACUGAAGGACAGGGGUGUGGAGGUAAAGAGAGAGAGAGACUGAAGGAUGGGGGUGCGGAGGUAAAGAGAGAGACUGAAGGACAGGGGUGUGGAGGUAAAGAGAGAGAGACUGAAGGACAGGGGUGUGGAGGUAAAGAGAGAGAGACUGAAGGACAGGGGUGUGGAGGUAAA